GACGACUAGUUUUGUAAUGGGGAAGGAGAGGGAGGUCUGACACAAAGACACGCAGAGAAGGCAGCCAUGUGAAGACAAGGCAAAGAUUGGAGUUCCUUAGCAAGAAACCAAGGAACACCCACGGUUGGCAGAAGCCACCAAAACCCAGGAGAGAGGCGUGGGAGAGACUCUCCUGUAGAGCCUCCAGUGGGAACCAACCCUGCCGCACCUUGACUUCAGACUUCUGGUCUCCAGAAUUGUGACGGAAUAAAUUUCUGUUGUUUUG
This 265-nucleotide long non-coding RNA is filed under the name Homo sapiens (human). RNAcentral describes it as "non-protein coding lnc-CHD2-4:6". The record is from RNAcentral. Lineage: Eukaryota; Metazoa; Chordata; Mammalia; Primates; Hominidae.